This 430-nucleotide ribosomal RNA is filed under the name Bacteroidota bacterium. Its description in RNAcentral is "Bacteroidetes bacterium partial 16S ribosomal RNA". It matches the Rfam family "Bacterial small subunit ribosomal RNA", at positions 355 to 776 of the family's 1533-position model. Lineage: Bacteria; Pseudomonadati; Bacteroidota. The record is from RNAcentral.
UAGGGAAUCUUCGGCAAUGGGGGGAACCCUGACCGAGCAACGCCGCGUGAGUGAAGAAGGUUUUCGGAUCGUAAAGCUCUGUUGUUAAGGAAGAACGAGUGUGAGAAUGGAAAGUUCAUGCUGUGACGGUACUUAACCAGAAAGCCACGGCUAACUACGUGCCAGCAGCCGCGGUAAUACGUAGGUGGCAAGCGUUGUCCGGAUUUAUUGGGCGUAAAGCGAGUGCAGGCGGUCAAUUAAGUCUGAUGUGAAAGCCGCCGGCUCAACCGGGGAAGGGCAGUGGAAAAUGGGUGACUUGAGAGCAGAAGAGGGGGGUGGAAUUCCAUGUGUAGCGGUGAAAUGCGUAGAUAUAUGGAGGAACACCAGUGGCGAAGGCGACUCUCUGGUCUGUAACUGACGCUGAGGCUCGAAAGCGUGGGUAGCAAACAGG